ACGUACACUCCUGCGGGAGGCAGCAGUGGGGAAUAUUGGACAAUGGGCGCAAGCCUGAUCCAGCCAUGCCGCGUGAGUGAUGAAGGCCCUAGGGUUGUAAAGCUCUUUCACCGGUGAAGAUAAUGACGGUAACCGGAGAAGAAGCCCCGGCUAACUUCGUGCCAGCAGCCGCGGUAAUACGAAGGGGGCUAGCGUUGUUCGGAUUUACUGGGCGUAAAGCGCACGUAGGCGGACUAUUAAGUCAGGGGUGAAAUCCCGGGGCUCAACCCCGGAACUGCCUUUGAUACUGGUAGUCUUGAGUUCGAGAGAGGUGAGUGGAAUUCCGAGUGUAGAGGUGAAAUUCGUAGAUAUUCGGAGGAACACCAGUGGCGAAGGCGGCUCACUGGCUCGAUACUGACGCUGAGGUGCGAAAGCGUGGGGAGCAAACAGGAUUAGAAACCCUGGUAGUCCCAU
RNAcentral lists this ribosomal RNA (453 nucleotides) under uncultured organism. Its description in RNAcentral is "partial 16S ribosomal RNA". It matches the Rfam family "Bacterial small subunit ribosomal RNA", at positions 329 to 798 of the family's 1533-position model. The record is from RNAcentral.